GACGAACGCUGGCGUCGUGCUUAACACAUGCAAGUCGAACGGAAAGGCCCUGCUUUUGUGGGGUGCUCGAGUGGCGAACGGGUGAUUAACACGUUAGUAACCUGCCCUUUACUUUGGGAUAACUUCAGGAAACUGGGGCUAAUACCGGAUAGGAGCUCCUGCUGCAUGGUGGGGGUUGGAAAGUUUCGGCGGUUGGGGAUGGACUCGCGGCUUAUCAGCUUGUUGGUGGGGUAGUGGCUUACCAAGGCUUUGACGGGUAGCCGGCCUGAGAGGGUGACCGGCCACAUUGGGACUGAGAUACGGCCCAGACUCCUACGGGAGGCAGCAGUGGGGAAUAUUGCACAAUGGGCGGAAGCCUGAUGCAGCAACGCCGCGUGCGGGAUGACGGCCUUCGGGUUGUAAACCGCUUUCGCCUGUGACGAAGCGUGAGUGACGGUAAUGGGUAAAGAAGCACCGGCUAACUACGUG
This 468-nucleotide ribosomal RNA is filed under the name uncultured bacterium. RNAcentral's name for it is "partial 16S ribosomal RNA". It matches the Rfam family "Bacterial small subunit ribosomal RNA", at positions 28 to 507 of the family's 1533-position model. The record is from RNAcentral.